GGCUCACCAAGGCGACGAUCCCUAGCUGGUUUGAGAGGAUGAUCAGCCACACUGGAACUGAGACACGGCCCAGACUCCUACGGGAGGCAGCAGUGGGGAAUAUUGCACAAUGGGCGCAAGCCUGAUGCAGCCAUGCCGCGUGGGUGAAGAAGGCCUUAGGGUUGUAAAGCACUUUCCGUUGGGAGGAAAGGUUAGUAUUUAAUACCUGCUAGCUGUCACCUUACUUACAGAAAG
RNAcentral lists this ribosomal RNA (234 nucleotides) under uncultured Gammaproteobacteria bacterium. Its description in RNAcentral is "partial 16S ribosomal RNA". It matches the Rfam family "Bacterial small subunit ribosomal RNA", at positions 262 to 488 of the family's 1533-position model. Lineage: Bacteria; Pseudomonadati; Pseudomonadota; Gammaproteobacteria. The record is from RNAcentral.